GAUGAACGCUGGCGGCGUGCCUAAUACAUGCAAGUCGAGCGAACGGACGAGAAGCUUGUUUCUUUGACGUUAGCGGCGGACGGGUGAGUAACAUGUGGAUAACCCACCUAUAAGACUGGGAUAACCUCGGGAAACCGGAGCUAAUACCGGAUGAUAUUCUGAACCGUAUGGUUCAUAAGUGAAAGACGGUCUUGCUGUCUCUUAUCGAUGGAUCCGCGCUGCAUUAGCUAGUUGGUAAGGUAACGGCUUAUCAAGGCGACGAUGCAUAGCCGACCUGAGAGGGUGAUCGGCCGCACGAGAACUGAGACACGGUCCAGGCGCCUACGGGAGGCAGCAGUAGGGAAUCUUCCGCAAUGGGCGGAAGCCUGACGGAGCGACGCCGCGUGAGUGAUGAAGGUCUUCGGAUCGUAAAACUCUGUUAUUGGGGGAGAACAUAUGUGUAAGUAACUGUGCACAUCUUGACGGUACCUGAUCAAAAAGCCACGGCUAACUACGUG
This 497-nucleotide ribosomal RNA is filed under the name uncultured bacterium. Its description in RNAcentral is "partial 16S ribosomal RNA". It matches the Rfam family "Bacterial small subunit ribosomal RNA", at positions 28 to 507 of the family's 1533-position model. The record is from RNAcentral.